RNAcentral lists this long non-coding RNA (426 nucleotides) under Elaeis guineensis (African oil palm). Its description in RNAcentral is "long non-coding RNA (EGUI_LNC072460)". Lineage: Eukaryota; Viridiplantae; Streptophyta; Magnoliopsida; Arecales; Arecaceae. The record is from RNAcentral.
AGUAAUAAUUUACUGUUAUGUGUUCAGAACACAAUACCUUUGUGUGGGUAGUCGAUCGUCGUAAUUUGAUCCCUGUCGGAAGAGUCUAAUCAUCGUAAUGCAGCUAUACAGUGUGUCUAACCUCUGUGGAUCAUCCACAUGAAGCUCCCGAUCUGAUCGGCUCCUCACAAAUGCUAGUUCGUGACUGCACCUUUUUGAUGGUCGAUGUUGAUCGAACUCCUUUGAUCGAUGUCUGUCGACUCCUCGGAUGCUUUGGAUCAUUAGCAAAGGUGGUAGAGAGGUGGAUGAUGCUCUCUCUGAAGUUUGGUGGGCUCACAACACUCGUAGCUCACGUUCUCACUUCUCGAACCCUAAGCCAAAACCUUAGGGUACACAAGAAAACUCUGCGCCCACUUUUAUUUCUUUUCAUUUCUUUUCUCUCGAAAG